Molecule: long non-coding RNA, 119 nt
Organism: Etheostoma spectabile (orangethroat darter)
Lineage: Eukaryota; Metazoa; Chordata; Actinopteri; Perciformes; Percidae
Exons: 3
Source: RefSeq, a predicted model, not a curated record
UAAGGUAAUGAUGAUGGGUAGUCUGGCUGUCACCAAACCAAGCUCAAUAGAUUUUAGAUUGAGCGUUGAUCUGGGGAGUCCGCUCUGUUUUUUCUCUGCACAAGAGGCGGGACCGACGG